This is a long non-coding RNA of Globicephala melas (long-finned pilot whale), 2024 nucleotides long. RefSeq lists it as uncharacterized. NCBI's taxonomy places the organism in Eukaryota, Metazoa, Chordata, Mammalia, Artiodactyla, Delphinidae. The record is from RefSeq and is a predicted model, not a curated record.
AUUGCGCAUGCGCGCGGCUGCCCGCGCGCCUUUGCGAGAGGCUAGACUUGGGACCGCCGGACCCCUGGCGACGCCGGGCGCGCUUCUCCCAGUGCUAAGCGGGAGGGCGCGCGCCCCUUGCGCUUGGACAGGUGCCUUGACGUGGGAACCUUGAGGGGUUUUCCUUCCCCGCUCCUAAAACUGUAAAGCCGGCAAGCUGGAAAGACCGCUAAAGCUCAUCUCGGCCAACCACCUCGUUUUUAAUUUAUGGGGCGACUGAGAAGACGGGAAGUGACGGAGUCUGGAAAAGUUCCUCAGUCCCUCCUUGACUUGCAGACCUUGACAGUUUUGAGGAUUACAGGGGUCCCAGCUGGAGCCUAUUCUAUAUCUCCUUAGGAUUCAAGCAUUGCUGGAGGACUGGUGGAGCAGGACUUCAGGACUCUAUUUAUAUAUAGCUCCUAGAGUAUCUUAGGAAAGAAGCCAUGCUAAGAGAGAGCUGAGUCCCCAAGCCUGGUUCAAGGACGUGAGCCACUGUCAGAAAGGAGAAGAAAUGGUGAAAGCAUCAUGGUCUCUGUCAUUUAGAUCAGCCUCCAUGGAUUCAUGCUUCUGUCAUAAGGAAUAAUCCACUACUGAGGACCCAAUGCCCCACAAAGUGAACCUUGGCCUCCCACAGAAGAACGCUUUAAGGAGCUACCAACUCAUUUACCUUUGCUCUAGUGCAGCAACUAUAUUACGGGUGGUAAGAGUCCUGAAUCAGUCUUUUGCCAACGACAGAUGGGUCGACCACAACAAAUGGGCAGUUUGCACAUGAGACUUAAUGUACAACUCCUUGUUCGUUUUUCCUUGACAGUGGAAGGACAUUGGACCUGACGUACAGAAGUCUCUCAGUAAAGAUUUGCUGUUUUUGAAAUUCCAUGGACACUGACCAGAUCUGUGAAUAAGAAGGCUCUUGGAUAAGAGUGAAAAAAAUGGAUGACACCAAUGUAUCUCACAUGGAGGAAACUGUCUUUAUGAAAACUCUUUGAAAUGCCCUGCAGACACAGAUGUCAGCAGAUGCCCAGCUCAGACAAGGGGAAGCUGUUUUGCAUGAAACAAAGAGAGGAACAUGGUUUAUUGCUUGUGGAAAGGAGGGGGAAGAAAGAAGUUUUCAGGAUGGCUGAGCAGGUCUGCUGCCUCUCCAGUGAAUGAAGGGCCAGAGUCCGGGAUUUCGCACAAAACUUUGAUGGGAUUUGGAAGAUUUCCUUGUGGAGGUGACAAGCACUCGAGUUGUCUUUAUAGCCCCAGUAAUAAGAUGAUGGCAUCAUCCAUGUUCCCUCUACCAAUGACUCUUCCAUGGCAACGUAGCUGAGACUGAGGCUAAAGGGCCAAAAAGGAUCACCUCCCAAAUAAACUACCUGAACCCAAGUAUUUAUCUUAGGCUCUGCUUUUUGGGAAAUCUAAACUUAGUUAGCUGAUACCAGGAGUGACCUCAGAGUGAACACCCUCAGGAUGGAUUCUGGAACUGAAUCACUCACUGAUCAGAUGGCAACAAGGACUCUGCUGUUGAUGAUAAGUUGAGCAGUGAUAACCCCUGAUAUGCUGUGCAGUCACAACGACUAAACUCUUCACCUGUGGAAGACCGGAAGUACAAGUGGAAGGAACACACCAGAUUAUGUAGUAGCUCUAGCACAGGGAUUCUCAGCCAUUUAAAAAAAAUAUUGUCCCCCUAGGGAGAAAAAUUAAAUUAAUUUAAAGUAUUCUGGGUGGGAGGUGGGCAAAAGAGGUGAAGGUGAUCAAAAGGUACAGCCUUCCAGUUAUAAAUAAGUCUGGGAAAUGUAACGUACAGUAUGGUGACUAUAGUUAAACAUACUGUUUUGCAUAUUUGAAAGUUGCUAAGAGAGUAUGUCUUAAAAAUUCUCAUCACAAGAAACAAAAAUUGUAACUGUAUAUGGUGAUGGAUGUUAACUGAACUUAUGGUGGCAAUCAUUUCAUAAUAUAUACAUGUAUUAAAUCAUUAUGUUGUACACCUAAAAUGAAUAAUAUGUUUUAUAUCAAUUAUAACUCAA